UACGUAGGGUGCAAGCGUUGUCCGGAAUUAUUGGGCGUAAAGAGCUCGUAGGCGGUUUGUCGCGUCUGCUGUGAAAACCCGAGGCUCAACCUCGGGCCUGCAGUGGGUACGGGCAGACUAGAGUGCGGUAGGGGAGGUUGGAAUUCCUGGUGUAGCGGUGGAAUGCGCAGAUAUCAGGAGGAACACCGGUGGCGAAGGCGGAUCUCUGGGCCAUUACUGACGCUGAGGAGCGAAAGCGUGGGGAGCGAACAGG
RNAcentral lists this ribosomal RNA (253 nucleotides) under uncultured bacterium. RNAcentral describes it as "partial 16S ribosomal RNA". It matches the Rfam family "Bacterial small subunit ribosomal RNA", at positions 524 to 776 of the family's 1533-position model. The record is from RNAcentral.